Molecule: long non-coding RNA, 454 nt
Organism: Tetranychus urticae (two-spotted spider mite)
Lineage: Eukaryota; Metazoa; Arthropoda; Arachnida; Trombidiformes; Tetranychidae
Source: RefSeq, a predicted model, not a curated record
UUCAUGUGAUUCAUGGAGCUAAGUAUGGAUCUUAACCAGUUAUUAAAGCCAUUCAGCGUUAGCUGGUUUCAGUUUAAAAUUUUGAUUGAAAAAAGUGAUCAAUAAUGAACAGCAAAUUUAGACAGGCCUCCAGUCUAGGUUCACCCAAUCGGAGUGAAAAGAGUGACUUUUCGCAACAGGAUAAACAUAGUAAAUCAUGUGCAACUAGAGUCAACAAUCACUGGAAAACCAUCGACAAUAAAAGUCAAUCCAUGUCAAAGUUCAAGAAGCCAGGCUCUGGAGUCGAGUUGGUUGACCAAGCAACCAACUACAUGUGGUAAUUUGAUUAACGGCAAUAACUUUUGCCAAAUCAAUGGCCGAGUGUUAUCACCAUUUUUCGGUGCUUUAAAUUUUUGAAUAUUACAAUCAGCAUUAAAAUGCUAAUGGAAAUGUUUUAAUAACCAUUUUACCCAGA